GGCGCCGGCCACCAGCGGCGGCCGCACUGCGGAGGGAGGAAGGCUCAUCUUCAUCGUCAUCAUUGUCAUUGUCAUCAUUGUCAUCGUCAUUGUCAUCAUUGUCAUCUUCAUCGUCAUCAUCAUUGUCAUCUUCAUCGUCAUUGUCAUUGGCAUCGUCAUUGGCAUUGGCAUCAUGGUCAUUGUCAUCGUCAUCGUCAUCACUGUCAUUGUUAUUGUCAUUGUCAUUGGUGUCGGCAUCAUCGUCAUCGUCAUCGUCAUUGUCAUCGUCAUUGGCAUGGUCACCAUCGUCAUUGUCAUCAUCGUCGUCAUCGUCAUCAUCGUCAUCAUCGUCACUGUCAUCAUCAUCAUCGUCGUCAUCGUCAUCGUCGGCGUCUUUGGCAUCAGCAUCAUUGUCAUCGUCAUUGCCAUCAUCGUCACUGUCAUCAUCUUCAUCGUCAUUGUCAUCGUCAUUGGCAUUAUCGUCAUCUUCGUCAUUGUCAUUAUCGUCGUCAUCGUCAUCAUCGUCAUCAUCGUCACUGUCAUCAUCUUCAUCGUCAUCGUCAUCGUCGGCGUCUUUGUAUGGGCGGCGGCGUCAUUGUCACCAUUGUCACCAUUGUCAUCAUUGUCAUUGGCAUCGUCAUCAUCAGUAUUGUCAUCCUCAUGGUCAUCGGCAAUGUCAUCGUCAUCAUCGUCAUCAUCAUUUGUCAUCGUCAUCGUUGUCAUCGUCAUUGGCAUCAUCAUCGUCAUGGUCAUUGUCAUUGUCAUUGUCAUCGUUGGCAUCUUUGUCAUUGGUGUCGUCAUCAUCAUCGUCAUCAUCAUUUGUCAUCGUCAUCAUUGUCAUCGUCAUUGUCAUCAUCAUCGUCAUGGUCAUGGUCAUUGGCAUUGUCAUCGUUGGCAUCUUCGUCAUUGGUGUCGUCAUCAUCAUCAUCGUCAUCAUCAUUGUCAUCGGCAUCACCAUCAUCAUCAUCGGCAUUGUCAUCAUCAGCAUCACCCUCACCAUCAUUUUCAUCCCACCCCAUCCAUCCCAUCCCAUCCUCAUCAUCCUCAUCCCAUCCAUCAUCUUCAUCUUCAUCCCAUCCCAUCCCAUCCUCAUCAUCCUCAUCCCAUCCCAUCCUCAUCAUCCUCAUCCCAUCCAUCCUCAUCAUCUUCAUCCCAUCCCAUCCCAUCCUCAUCAUCUUCAUCCCAUCCUCAUCCUCAUCAUCCUCAUCCCAUCCUCCUCAUCUUCAUCUUCAUCCCACCCCAUCCAUCCCAUCCUCAUCAUCUUCAUCCCAUCCCAUCCAUCCCACCCCAUCCAUCCUCAUCCCAUCCCAUCCA
Molecule: long non-coding RNA, 1293 nt
Filed under: Lonchura striata (white-rumped munia)
Lineage: Eukaryota; Metazoa; Chordata; Aves; Passeriformes; Estrildidae
Description: domestica (Bengalese finch) lncRNA (ENSLSDG00000002748.1)
Source: RNAcentral